AGAUUGAACGCUGGCGGCAGGCCUAACACAUGCAAGUCGAGCGGCAGCACGGGUACUUGUACCUGGUGGCGAGCGGCGGACGGGUGAGUAAUGCCUAGGAAUCUGCCUGAUAGUGGGGGAUAACGCUCGGAAACGGACGCUAAUACCGCAUACGUCCUACGGGAGAAAGCAGGGGACCUUCGGGCCUUGCGCUAUCAGAUGAGCCUAGGUCGGAUUAGCUAGUUGGUGGGGUAAUGGCUCACCAAGGCGACGAUCCGUAACUGGUCUGAGAGGAUGAUCAGUCACACUGGAACUGAGACACGGUCCAGACUCCGUACGGGAGCAGCA
Molecule: ribosomal RNA, 327 nt
Filed under: uncultured soil bacterium
Lineage: Bacteria
Description: bacterial SSU rRNA
Rfam family: Bacterial small subunit ribosomal RNA
Source: RNAcentral